CGGAUUGCAGGCUGAAACCCGCCUGUAUGAAGUUGGAAUCGCUAGUAAUCGCGGAUCAGCAUGCCGCGGUGAAUACGUUCCCGGGCCUUGUACACACCGCCCGUCACACCAUGAGAGUCGGGAACACCCGAAGUCCGUAGCCUAACCGCAAGGGGGCGCGGCCGAAGGUGGGUUCGAUAAUUGGGGUGAAGUCGUAACAAGGUACC
This 206-nucleotide ribosomal RNA is filed under the name uncultured bacterium. RNAcentral's name for it is "partial 16S ribosomal RNA". It matches the Rfam family "Bacterial small subunit ribosomal RNA", at positions 1294 to 1500 of the family's 1533-position model. The record is from RNAcentral.